GCAGUGGUGGCUGAACGGUUAAGGCUCUGGGUUACUGAUUGGAAGGUCAGGGAUUCAAGCCCCUGCACUGCU
Molecule: non-coding RNA, 72 nt
Organism: Pangasianodon gigas (Mekong giant catfish)
Lineage: Eukaryota; Metazoa; Chordata; Actinopteri; Siluriformes; Pangasiidae
Source: the annotation of a GenBank genome assembly